CCUGAUCUGGGGCUAGGGGCUAAAGACCAAUCUAGCUCGGGGAUAGCUAGUUCCUCCCGAAGUAUGUCGUAGCAUAGUCUCUCUUGAGAUCGUUAAAGGGGUAGAGCACCGAUCGAAAAGCGAGGAGUCGCAAGAUUCCACUUUUCUCUCGAACUCCGAAUCCUUUAACAUCAUAGAAGGAGAGAAACGGGUUCCAGAGGGUAAGCCUCUGGACCGAGAGGGGAGCAACCCCGACCAGGGUUAAGGCCCCAAAAUGCCAGCUAAACGUCAAACCAAAUAGCGUUCUUCGCCUAAAACAGCGGGAGGGUAGGCUCAGAAGCAGCCAUCCUUUAAAGAGUGCGUAAUAGCUCACCCGCCGAGGUUAAGAGCCUUGAAAAUGGACGGGGCUAAGCUGGCUGCCGAGACCCUGGAGUGCAACGUAAUGUUGCAAUCUGGUAGGGAGGCGUCCUGACUGGAUAGAAGCUGAGCUGUGAAGUUCAGUGGACCGGUUAGGAGUGCAGAUCCCGGUGGUAGUAACAGCCAAGAGGGGUGAGAAUCCCCUCCACCGCAAGGGCAAGGGUUCCCCGGCAA
This 570-nucleotide ribosomal RNA is filed under the name Dehalococcoidia bacterium. RNAcentral describes it as "partial 23S ribosomal RNA". It matches the Rfam family "Archaeal large subunit ribosomal RNA", at positions 881 to 1450 of the family's 2987-position model. The record is from RNAcentral. Lineage: Bacteria; Bacillati; Chloroflexota; Dehalococcoidia.